This 402-nucleotide ribosomal RNA is filed under the name uncultured bacterium. Its description in RNAcentral is "bacterial SSU rRNA". It matches the Rfam family "Bacterial small subunit ribosomal RNA", at positions 8 to 425 of the family's 1533-position model. The record is from RNAcentral.
AGAGUUUGAUCCUGGCUCAGAAUCAACGCUGGCGGCGUGCCUAACACAUGCAAGUCGAACGAGAAAGUGGAGCAAUCCAUGAGUAAAGUGGCGACCGGGUGAGUAACACGUGACUACCUACCCUCGAGUGGGGAAUAACUCCGGGAAACCGGGGCUAGUACCGCAUAACAUCGAGAGAUCAAAGGAGCAAUUCGCUUGAGGAGGGGGUCGCGGCUGAUUAGCUAGUUGGUAGGGUAAUGGCCUACCAAGGCGAUGAUCGGUAGCCGGCCUGAGAGGGCGCACGGCCACACUGGAACUGAAACACGGUCCAGACUCCUACGGGAGGCAGCAGUGGGGAAUUUUGCGCAAUGGGGGAAACCCUGACGCAGCAACGCCGCGUGGAGGAUGAAGUCCCUUGGGACG